This 218-nucleotide long non-coding RNA is filed under the name Nicotiana benthamiana. RNAcentral's name for it is "long non-coding RNA (NBEN_LNC007976)". Lineage: Eukaryota; Viridiplantae; Streptophyta; Magnoliopsida; Solanales; Solanaceae. The record is from RNAcentral.
AAAAUAAAAAUAUCAAACUGCUCAAUCUUCUUUAACCAUGGAUCCAUCACCAAUCAAGUGAUUUAUUUUCCCCUCAGGGUGCUCAAAGAAGUCUACCAUAUCCAAGUGGGUGAUGUCAAAACUAUUGUCAGAGACAAAAUUGGUUUCAGGGCCUUUACUCUUUAGAGAUGCUUGAUAAAGCUCAACCAAAUGUCUUGGUACACGGCAAAUUUUUGCCC